CAUGCAAGUCGAGCGAAGCACUUUGGAAAGAUUCUUCGGAUGAUUUCCUUUGUGACUGAGCGGCGGACGGGUGAGUAACGCGUGGGUAACCUGCCUCAUACAGGGGGAUAACAGUUAGAAAUGACUGCUAAUACCGCAUAAGACCACGGUACCGCAUGGUACAGUGGUAAAAACUCCGGUGGUAUGAGAUGGACCCGCGUCUGAUUAGGUAGUUGGUGGGGUAACGGCCUACCAAGCCGACGAUCAGUAGCCGACCUGAGAGGGUGACCGGCCACAUUGGGACUGAGACACGGCCCAGACUCCUACGGGAGGCAGCAGUGGGGAAUAUUGCACAAUGGAGGAAACUCUGAUGCAGCGACGCCGCGUGAAGGAUGAAGUAUUUCGGUAUGUAAACUUCUAUCAGCAGGGAAGAAAAUGACGGUACCUGACUAAGAAGCCCCGGCUAACUACGUGCCAGCAGCCGCGGUAAUACGUAGGGGGCAAGCGUUAUCCGGAUUUACUGGGUGUAAAGGGAGCGUAGACGGCACGGCAAGCCAGAUGUGAAAGCCCGGGGCUCAACCCCGGGACUGCAUUUGGAACUGCUGAGCUAGAGUGUCGGAGAGGCAAGUGGAAUUCCUAGUG
Molecule: ribosomal RNA, 621 nt
Filed under: uncultured bacterium
Lineage: Bacteria
Description: bacterial SSU rRNA
Rfam family: Bacterial small subunit ribosomal RNA
Source: RNAcentral